This is a long non-coding RNA of Triticum aestivum (bread wheat), 1020 nucleotides long. RefSeq lists it as uncharacterized. NCBI's taxonomy places the organism in Eukaryota, Viridiplantae, Streptophyta, Magnoliopsida, Poales, Poaceae. The transcript is spliced from 2 exons. The record is from RefSeq and is a predicted model, not a curated record.
AGCGGAGCGCCUCCUGCCCCGCGGCCGGCGCACCACCUCCCCUCGUCCCCCCGCGGCCGGCGCGCCACCUCCCCUCCUCCCCCGCAGCGAUCUCCCCUCCUCCCCAACGGCGGCGUGGCUCUGGAACGCCGGCGUGCUUUUGCCGGUCCAUGGAUCCCCGUGCGCCGCCGAAGGGCCCUGGUUCCCGAGUGCCAUCGCCGGUCCCCGGAUGCCACAAGCCGCCGCCUCCCUCCCCCUGAAUCCACCGCGAUGGUGGCCUCUCUCCUCCUGAAUCCAUCACAGCGGCGACCUCCCUCCCCCUGAAUCCACCGACGCGGCGGCCUCCCUCCCCCUGAAUCCACUACGGUGGCGGCCUCCCCCUGCUUCCAAUGCGACGUCACCCUCCGUCCCGCACGCUUCUUGCAAAAAGCACCCGUGCCAUUCACCUGCGGCAUGCUACUCCGCCGGCCGUCAACCUCACGCAGACCGUCGCCGAAUCCAUCUCUCGGUGUUGUCCCGACGGCGGCGGCGCCGUCUUUCCUCUGAUCCCCUCCAUCCCUUGGACGCCGAGCGGACCUGACGCAUGUGUCGUCCCCUGGAUCCAGCGUCAUCCGAGGUGCGGUGCCGUCCUGGGCAGGUCACAUGCAGCGCCCUGGGAAAGUCACCGGCAGCGCCUUGGGUCAGCUUCUCUUGAUGGGAAAGUACAGCUGCAAAAAGAAGAGUGCAUGGAAGCUUCUCCAAAAAAUUGGCCACCAUUACAGUUGCUUUCUGAAAUCAAGAUGUUGCUUGUUUGAGAGUACAGGGAAGAAGAAUAGCACGGAGAAGAUAACACAUCAUCACUUUGUGGAUAAUGUGAGACAAGAUGGAAACAUGCAAGUCCAGCACUAGUUAGUGCAUUUUUUAUGUAAAAAGGAUUGGGUGCAUGUAGUUACUGUGUGGCCAGGUCAUUUGAGAAAUAUUGUUUGUAAGCGUGCACUCUCUUUUUGCUGCUGAUUCUUAUGCUCAAAUUAUACCCAAAUUUCUACAGUUUUUGCACACUCA